RNAcentral lists this unclassified non-coding RNA (273 nucleotides) under uncultured fungus. RNAcentral describes it as "sequence contains ITS1". The record is from RNAcentral. Lineage: Eukaryota; Fungi.
UUUGACAUUUUUUAAUAGCUAAGGUACCUGUGCACCGAAGUGCUGGUUGCCUCAGUGCUAAGUACUUCAUGGUUCAUAUUUUGGAACGCUUGCACGUCGCAAAAAAGUAGUCAUUGUGGGCAACCGAAGUCGCCAUAAAUAUUAAAGGUCCGCGGGACGCAAAAGUCAAGACCAGGAAUUACUCCCCAGUCUCUCCUUCUGAUGUUUGCUAUUGACCGAGGUCAAUAGACUUUAGGUGUGGUAAUGAUCCUUCCGCAGGUUCACCUACGGAAA